This 465-nucleotide ribosomal RNA is filed under the name uncultured bacterium. RNAcentral's name for it is "partial 16S ribosomal RNA". It matches the Rfam family "Bacterial small subunit ribosomal RNA", at positions 28 to 507 of the family's 1533-position model. The record is from RNAcentral.
GACGAACGCUGGCGGCGUGCUUAACACAUGCAAGUCGAACGGAAAGGCCCUGCUUGCAGGGUACUCGAGUUGCGAACGGGUGAGUAACACGUGGGUGAUCUGCCCUGCACUUCGGGAUAAGCCUGGGAAACUGGGUCUAAUACCGGAUAGGAGCCAUAUUUAGUGUGAUGGUUGGAAAGUUUUUUCGGUGUAGGAUGAGCUCGCGGCCUAUCAGCUUGUUGGUGGGGUAAUGGCCUACCAAGGCGGCGACGGGUAGCCGGCCUGAGAGGGUGGACGGCCACAUUGGGACUGAGAUACGGCCCAGACUCCUACGGGAGGCAGCAGUGGGGAAUAUUGCACGAUGGGCGCAAGCCUGAUGCAGCGACGCCGCGUGGGGGAUGACGGCCUUCGGGUUGUAAACUCCUUUCGCUAGGGACGAAGCUUUUUGUGACGGUACCUAGAGAAGAAGCACCGGCUAACUACGUG